This 843-nucleotide long non-coding RNA is filed under the name Marmota monax (woodchuck). The record is from RNAcentral. Lineage: Eukaryota; Metazoa; Chordata; Mammalia; Rodentia; Sciuridae.
CUCUUGGUAGCUGCUUCCAAAUUGACAAAUCUGUGGAAGGGGGAAAGUUUCAGGCUUACCUUAGUUUACUUCCCUUCCCUACCAGUCAGGUUUCUGUCUGGAGACGCAGAACUGUGGAUGUGUGUGUGUGUCACAUCCAUCCAUGCACAUUGAGAUGUUCAUUGAGGGCAGUUGGCUUACUCAGUCUCAGAAACUGGCUAGUCUGAAAUCUACUGGCUAGUCUGAAAUCUAUCGGGCAGGUUACCAUCACAAGGGGCAGGCUAGAACUCUUGGGCAGGAGCAGAAGCCACAGUCCAGAAGUGGAAUUUCUCAUUCAGCAGAGAAGUUUUAUCUCUGUCCUUCAGACCUUUCCAUUGAUUGCUUCAGGCCCACUUAGAUUAUCUACAAUAAUCCUUACUUAAAGUGAUUACAGACUCAAUCAUAUCUACCAAGUACCAUAACACCUAGGUACUAAUCUAGUACCUAGUUUGAGUAACUGGGAACUGUAGCCUAGCCAAGGUGACAUGUAAAACUGCCCAACACACUUCCUCUCUAGGAACUGACCACCUUACUAAUUUCUGAUGCCUUCAAACAUGUUUUUUUUUUCCAUUUUGCCUAAAUUUUUUUUUAAGUUGGACACAAUAUUUUGUUUUAUUUAUUUUUAUGUGGUGCUGAGGAUCAAACCCAGCGCCUCGCAUAUACUAGUGAUAAACCCAGCCUAAUUCCCUCUUAAGAUUGGGGGCCAUAUCGCCACAAAGGCAUGACAAGCUAAUUUCAGCUUUACUAUAAAUUACUGCGAUUUCAAACUUGCUUGGAAUGCCUGCCCGUGCCUUGAACUCACCCAUGCCCGGCUUUCCCUGACAA